ACAAUGGCUUUUUUAAUAGCCAUAAUCAUAUAAAAAAUAAAGGUA
Non-coding RNA from Gossypium raimondii (Peruvian cotton), 45 nucleotides. The record is from Rfam. NCBI's taxonomy places the organism in Eukaryota, Viridiplantae, Streptophyta, Magnoliopsida, Malvales, Malvaceae.